This 391-nucleotide ribosomal RNA is filed under the name uncultured eukaryote. Its description in RNAcentral is "SSU rRNA". It matches the Rfam family "Eukaryotic small subunit ribosomal RNA", at positions 592 to 977 of the family's 1831-position model. The record is from RNAcentral.
CAAUAGCGUAUAUUAAAGUUGUUGCAGUUAAAAGCUCGUAGUUGGAUUUCUGGCAGGAGCGACCGGUCACACACUCUGUGUGUGAACUUGUGUUGUCUCUGGCCAUCCUUGGGGAGAUCCUGUUUGGUCAUUAAGUUGUCGGGCAGGGGACGAUCCAUCGUUUACUUGUGAAAAAUUAAGAGUGUUUAAAGCAGGCUUAUGCCGUUGAAUAUAUUAGCAUGGAAUAAUAAGAUAGGACUUCGGAACUAUUUUGUUGGUUUGCGUUACGAAGUAAUGAUUAAUAGGGACAGUUGGGGGUAUUCGUAUUUCGUUUGUCAGAGGUGAAAUUACUUGGAUUCCGUAAAGACGAACUACUGCGAAAGACAUUUACCUAAGGAUGUUUUCUAUUAAU